ACUUCUGUGAUGACACUCCUGUCUGUCCCAUAAAAUCUUGAGGUUCAGCAAUGACAGUGGCCUUCCUUCAAAGGGCUGUAGUAGCCAUGAAAGGCUUUCUCUCAACUUGCUCUACUCAGAAAACAUCAUCUGAGGUAUGGCUCUCUGAGUCAAGCAAACCUGAUCUGUGCUUCUUCAGGGUAAAAACUCUUUGCUUUCCCAGUCCCCAUCCUGCUGUCCAUCUGCUUGAGAAAUGUGGGAAGAGAGGCUGUCAUUGAAGACAGAACCCACUGGAGUGCUGGCCUGGAUUUGGGAUGAGCCAAUUAGCCUGGAGCUGUGAGAUUUUUCCUGUCAGAAAUCCAUGAUGGAGAUGUUCUUCCUGGUUGUCCCAAAGGGAAGGUGGGACCAGGCCUUUUCGUGAGCACACAAGUUAACAGACCAAACAAGCAGACCCUGGGAUGAAGAAGCCCACCCUGCUGAGGAGGAAGAUGAGCAUGUGUGGGAGGAUGGAGACAGUGGUCACCAAAAGCUGGGGAAGGCAGAGGUUGCCUUCCAAGGGGAGGGACAUGUCUAUCCUGUUGGAAUUUGGGCUGUGAGACCAAAGGGAAAAAAAAGGUUAGAUCUGAAUUUCUACUUGGGUUCUAAUGUGCCAUUGAAGAGAUUUCUAAAAAGCUCAUUAUCUGUGAUGGGACCUUGGAAAAACAGGAAUUGAAGCUUUCUAAAGUGGCCUAAACCUGCCUGCAAGUAUCCACAUGCAGCUGCCAAUUUGUGGUUUUGAGUAGACCUGCAGUAAGGCCACAUGGAACUGGACCGGAACAGUGGCCUCUUUUCAUGGGAAAGAAACACUUAUACCCCCAGUGUCUUGGGGUCAGGUGAGAGGUGUCUUUGACGCUCCAAGGGCAGUGAGAGUCCUAGUUGCUGGCAGCUUUGGCUUCAGAGAAAUCCUGCAAAAUAGGCAAAUUUAGGAGGUGGCAGCUCACUGUCAGCCAAAGUGACUGGAUGUGAAUGGUGGAUAUUUUCCAUGGGAAAAAAAACUUCAUUCCUUCAGUGUGUCAGGGUCAGCUCAGAGUUAGCAUUUGGGGCUCCAAAGGCAGUUGGAUUCCUAGUUGCUAGCAGCUUUUGUCUUGGAGAAAUCCUGCAAUGUUAGCGAUUUUGGGAGGUGGCACCCUUCUGUUCCAAGAUGCGACUGGACAUGGAGAGUUGCCAUUUUCCAUAGGGGAAAAAACCUUCUUCCCCCAGUGACCUGGGGUCAAGUAGGAGGUGGCAUUUCGGGUUCCAAGAGUAGUCAGACUGCCAGUUGGAGGCAGCUUUUGUCUUGGAGAACUUGUGCGAUGCUGGCAAUUUUAGGGAGCUGAACCCCACAACCAGCCAGCUGUGGCAGGAGACAAAAAAUGGUCAUUUUCCAUAGGGAAAAAAAUCUUGUUCCCCCAGUGGCCUGGGGUGAAGCCACAGGUGGUGUUUGGGUCUCCAAGGGCAGCCAGAGUCCUAGUUGCAGGCAAUAUUAGUUGGGGAGAAAUCCCGAGAUGUUUGCAAAUUUUAUGUCGGCACCCCUCUAUCAUCCAGGAUGAGCGGCUGGAAAUGAAGGCCAUUUUCCAUGGGAAAAAGAAGUCAUUUCCCCAGGGUCUCUGUAUCAGCUCAGAGGUGAAAUUUAGGGCUGUAAGGGAAUCCUUGGUCCUAGUUUCUGUCAGCUUUAGUUCUGAAGAAAUCCAGUGAAGUUUGCAAAUUUGUAGGUUGGCACCCCACUGUCAUCCAGCGCAAGUGGCCACAAAUGGAGCUAAUUUUCCUUGGGAAAAAGAAGUUAUUUCUCCAAAGUCUGGGUAUCAGCUCAGAGGUGGCAUUUGGGGCUGUAAGGGUGUGCAGGGUGCUGGUUGCUGGCAGCUUUGUUUUUGGAGAAACCAGGCAUGGUUUCUGCCUCCUGCUGUUGGUUGGUGCAACAGCAUGCGAAUAAUGGUCAGUUUCCACAGGAAAUAGAUCUCAUUCCCACAGUGUCCUGUGGUCAGGUCACGGGUGGCAUUUGGGGCUUCAAAGUCAGUCAGAGUUGUGGGAAAUAGUAAAGGAAAAAAGGUUUUUAGAAACUUGGGAAAUGUAGGUUUUAGAAACAGAAAGAGUAGAGAAACUUAUAGAUAGUUUUAGUUGUUUAAUUUGAAGGUAGAAAAAGUUAUAAUAGUAUAGUAAGAAAAGAUAUGAAACAAUAGUUUGAGCUUUAGGCUUGGUCAAGAUAGAUUUUAAGAUCGUAGAAAAAUGUAUUUAGCAAGAUAGUAGAAGGUUUUAAGUUUAAUAAUGGUGUAUUGUUAAUAGAAAGAUUAGUAAAUAUUGUGUGAUGUAAGUCCAUGUGUAUUUUUAGUAAUUGCUUAAAACAACUGUCCGUAAGCUUUAGUAAAAUGUUAUUGCUUAAAAAGUUUUAAAGAUGCUCUGUAAAUAAGUAAUCUUUGGCUGUUGUUUGGCGUA
Molecule: long non-coding RNA, 2427 nt
Organism: Melospiza melodia melodia
Lineage: Eukaryota; Metazoa; Chordata; Aves; Passeriformes; Passerellidae
Exons: 5
Source: RefSeq, a predicted model, not a curated record